AACUGGAGAACCCAGCCGAGAGGGUGCACCAGAUCCAACAAAUCCUCGUCACCCUUCCCCGCGUGGUCAUUGUGGUCAUGAGAUACCUCUUCGCUUUCCUCAACCACCUCUCCCAGUAUAGCGACGAGAACAUGAUGGAUCCCUACAACCUGGCCAUCUGCUUCGGGCCUACCCUCAUGCACAUCCCUGAUGGGCAGGACCCUGUGUCCUGCCAGGCACACAUCAAUGAAGUCAUCAAAACCAUCAUCAUCCAUCAUGAAGCCAUCUUCCCCAGCCCCCGGGAGCUAGAGGGACCUGUGUAUGAAAAAUGCAUGGCUGGAGGGGAAGAAUAUUGUGACAGCCCACACAGCGAGCCAGGGACCAUCGAUGAAGUUGACCAUGACAAUGGCACUGAGCCUCAUACCAGCGAUGAAGCUCCUCGGGCUGAUGGGCAGAAGGCUGCUCUGGACACCAGGACUGAAGAUGAGGAGGGACAGAGAGAAUAGGGCUUGCUGGGUCAGCGAAGAAGCAGCCAUGGGACUCACCCAGUGGGGCUUCAUCCCCAUAAGAACCACCCCCCAGAAAGUGCUACCUCCCCCUUCUCAGGGUAAAAGUUCACAGUGGCCCCCAGAAUGUAUGAGUCAGAGCUUUGGGUCCCCCUCCCAGAUGAUCCUUCUUCUUUUUGUUCUUCGUAAGGCUGCUGGUUUCUGGGAAUGACAAAGGCAGGAAAAAUCAUUCUGGGAGGGAAGCAGCCACAGGCUGGGAGAGCCAGUUUCAUAUUCCCUGAAGGCUCUCAAAGUAUCCUGUGUGUAUUAGUGGGGGGUAUUGAAUCAGGGGCACUCUUUGGUGGAAAAUCAAUUGCAUUUUCUAAAUGUUACAUUCAUGCCAUCCCUGGCCAAACAGUGGCAGAAUAGUGAGCUGCAGAGACAGUCAAGGGGUCACUGUGCUCAGAAAAAAGAGACCUGGAGUUGAAGCACAGAGGGAGUCCUUAUGGUCAUGUAAUCUGAGGCAAGCCACAUCACCUCUGGCCUCUAUUUCCUUAUCUAUAAAAUGGGAAUGACAGCACCAAGCAAAUUAUGGCAUGGGUUAAAAUGAGGUGACAUAUGGGAAGGAGCCUAGCACAGUGUCCGGGACAGGGAGGUGGAUAAGAAACAUCAAUGGACUCUGUAUCAAACAGACAUCCUUCCUAAUCCUGAUAGAAAAACUGAGUCCUGGAGAAUUUUCUUGACCUAACUGGCAUUGGCAGUUACUGGUCAUUGGCAACCGAAACCUCCUGAUUUGUUUACCUGUUUCAUCUUAGACAUUUCAUUUAGGGGAUCAUCAAUAUCUAUCUUCUUUUCUCUUGACAGCACCCGGUAUGAAUGGAACCCAGCAGGCCUCAAAGGUCAAAUCAGGCAGAGAACCAUGAGUCCAGGUCUUUGCCAUACAUGAAUCAGCCAAUGAAUGCCAAAUUGGAGGAACAAUUUAGUUGUUUGUUUAUCUGUUGCCUUUCUUGUCUCAAAGAUUCUGUACCAGCUGGGCGUGGUGGCUCACACCUGUAACCCCAACACUUUGGGAAGUUGAGGUGGGCAGAUCACUUGAGCCCAGGAAUUCGAGACCAGCCUGGGCAACAUGGUGAAACUCCGUCUCUACAAAAAAAAAAAACCAAAAUACAAAAAUUAGCCAGGCAUGGUGGCAUAUGCCUGUGGUCCCAGCAAAUCAGGAGGCUGAAGUGGGAGAAUUACUUAAGCCCAGGGAGGUUGAGGCUGCAGUGAGCCAUGAUUGUGCCACUGCACUCCAGCCUGGGUGACCGAACAAGGCCCUGUCUCAAAAAAAAAAAAA
This 1800-nucleotide small RNA is filed under the name Pongo abelii (Sumatran orangutan). RNAcentral describes it as "processed transcript". Lineage: Eukaryota; Metazoa; Chordata; Mammalia; Primates; Hominidae. The record is from RNAcentral.